Anopheles arabiensis is the source of this 1714-nucleotide long non-coding RNA. RefSeq lists it as uncharacterized. Lineage: Eukaryota; Metazoa; Arthropoda; Insecta; Diptera; Culicidae. The transcript is spliced from 5 exons. The record is from RefSeq and is a predicted model, not a curated record.
AACGAAUCAGUAUAUAAUGAGCAUCACUCAAAACUGUUUCCAAAGACCAGUCGUGCGAAAUGAAACCAUUAGCCCAUCUUGCUCUGCUCGUACUCAUCGUGGCAACGUGCCUAAUAUAUGACGCUGUAUCUGCAUCCAGUGAAAUGGAAAAGCGUGACGCUGUGCCAAAUUCUUGUACGUUUCAUCUUGGAAAAAUGUUUUGCACUACGGGGAUUUAAGGCACGGGAUGAAUGCUUAUUUUGUUUAAAGCAUGUUUUACCUCAUUUAUAGAAUAUUUUCAAAGUCUCAAAUAAAGUAAACAUAAAAACAUAUGCAUUUGUAUACUGAAAACAGAAUAAAAAAAGUUAUUUAAACAUGAACUUACACUCACUAAGUGUUAUGGAAAGUUCUAAACAGUUUUAUGAUUUUUUCACAAACCACCUGAAGAAGAAAAAACGGCAGCCAGAAUCUGAUAGGUAUUUCAAUAUCAUGCCUUUAAAGAAUUCCCACAUAUAUUAAUGAAAUAAAAACGUCCAAUUUGACAGCUCAAAAAAGUGCAGUUUACUUGUAUUUUUACUGUUCGAUAAUUUGUACACCAAAAUACCUACUAACUGUGUCAAUGCAUUUGUGCUUAAUUCACAUACCAUUUGUGUAAAUUAGUAAUAACGGUUGAUUCGCUCAGACUGUAUUGCUUCAGGUAAUUCCCUACAGAACACCACUGUAAACGCUUAGUGUGAUCAUCGUCUACCACUAUUCAGACCGAGUAUCCCUCAAAAGCUUACGAUCGUGACUUGGGGAAAGACAAAAGGUCACCCUUUUGCCUGCACCCGAUUCAAGUGACGGAUUUUUUAGCGUCUUUAUAUAAAACUUUUUUAGACAAAAACAGCUUAAAAACACGUAUUUAAAUCUACAAUAAUAAUUUACUGCGUGCAACAGAAAGAGUCCUGUUGGCGUUUUGAAUAUUUAAAUUUUACCUUCAAAAGAAUUGCUUCUGAAUCCCUGAAAAUAACCAUAUGAAACCUCUGCAUUACCAUAUUAUGUUAUUGCUAAUCGUUGUAGAUAUUGUUUUUUCUCAUUUGACUAAAAGUGUGAAAAGUAUCAGGGCCUCGAAUCCAUCACGGCCCGAUGCUAACCGAUGUAUUCUUCUAUUUGGCGUAAUGAUCUACGCGAUCAUGCCGGCCUCUACAUGCUUAGUAAAAAAGAAUUCAAAGAAAUGCACAAAUUAACAGCUACAAGGAACAAACUGCAUACCAGUAUUAAGCGCUGGUCCGAGGAGAAUCAAAUAAAAAGUACUCCAGGUUGGAAAUAAAUCAGUAUAUAACAAGAAUCACUCUGCUGCAUCACACUAACCUGUUUCCAAAGACGUGCAAAAUGAAGCAAUUAUACCAUCUUGUUUUAAUCAUGCUCAUUGUAGCAACUUGCCUAACUAAUGAGGCUUUAUCUGCUCCCAGUCAAGUCGCAAAGCGUGAAGCGGUGCCUCAUUGUAUGGUGUGGCAGGGAAUGAAGAUUUGUCUUCCUUCCUUCCUGAAUGCCAGGUGGUGAAUGUCAAUGUUAUCCACAAUAACUUCAAACACAACAUGAUUUUAUGAAAAAUACAACUAAAAAAAUCUGAAUGCUGCAGAAACGAUGCGUGUUUUGAUUGACCAUUGAAUGAAACACUGAAAUUAACAUCAACAAAACUUUUUUUCAAAAUAAACCCUAAUCAGACUAUCAGAAAUCGUAGUCAGCUUUAAUA